GCCGUUUGCGGUCCUGUCUAUACAUGCAGUCGAACGAUCUCUGGUAUUGAUUGGUGCUUGCAUCAUGAUUUACAUUUGAGUGAGUGGCGAACUGGUGAGUAACACGUGGGAAACCUGCCCAGAAGCGGGGGAUAACACCUGGAAACAGAUGCUAAUACCGCAUAACAACUUGGACCGCAUGGUCCGAGCUUGAAAGAUGGCUUCGGCUAUCACUUUUGGAUGGUCCCGCGGCGUAUUAGCUAGAUGGUGGGGUAACGGCUCACCAUGGCAAUGAUACGUAGCCGACCUGAGAGGGUAAUCGGCCACAUUGGGACUGAGACACGGCCCAAACUCCUACGGGAGGCAGCAGUAGGGAAUCUUCCACAAUGGACGAAAGUCUGAUGGAGCAACGCCGCGUGAGUGAAGAAGGGUUUCGGCUCGUAAAACUCUGUUGUUAAAGAAGAACAUAUCUGAGAGUAACUGUUCAGGUAUUGACGGUAUUUAACCAGAAAGCCACGGCUAACUACGUGCCAGCAGCCGCGGUAAUACGUAGGUGGCAAGCGUUGUCCGGAUUUAUUGGGCGUAAAGCGAGCGCAGGCGGUUUUUUAAGUCUGAUGUGAAAGCCUUCGGCUCAACCGAAGAAGUGCAUCGGAAACUGGGAAACUUGAGUGCAGAAGAGGACAGUGGAACUCCAUGUGUAGCGGUGAAAUGCGUAGAUAUAUGGAAGAACACCAGUGGCGAAGGCGGCUGUCUGGUCUGUAACUGACGCUGAGGCUCGAAAGUAUGGGUAGCAAACAGGAUUAGAUACCCUGGGUAGUCCAUACCGUAAACGAUGAAUGCUAAGUGUUGGAGGGUUUCCGCCCUUCAGUGCUGCAGCUAACGCAUUAAGCAUUCCGCCUGGGGAGUACGGCCGCAAGGCUGAAACUCAAAGGAAUUGACGGGGGCCCGCACAAGCGGUGGAGCAUGUGGUUUAUUUCGAAGCUACGCGAAGAACCUUACCAGGUCUUGACAUACUAUGCAAAUCUAGAGAUUAGACGUUCCCUUCGGGGACAUGGAUACAGGGUGGUGCAUGGGUUGUCGUCAGCUCG
Molecule: ribosomal RNA, 1067 nt
Filed under: Lactiplantibacillus plantarum
Lineage: Bacteria; Bacillati; Bacillota; Bacilli; Lactobacillales; Lactobacillaceae
Description: bacterial SSU rRNA
Rfam family: Bacterial small subunit ribosomal RNA
Source: RNAcentral